AGGCUCAUAGCUCAGUUGGUUAGAGCACCACCUUGACAUGGUGGGGGUCGCUGGUUCGAGUCCAGUUGAGCCUA
This 74-nucleotide transfer RNA is filed under the name Gynuella sunshinyii YC6258. It matches the Rfam family "tRNA". Rfam says of the family: Transfer RNA (tRNA) molecules are approximately 80 nucleotides in length. Their secondary structure includes four short double-helical elements and three loops (D, anti-codon, and T loops). The record is from Rfam by way of RNAcentral. Lineage: Bacteria; Pseudomonadati; Pseudomonadota; Gammaproteobacteria; Oceanospirillales; Saccharospirillaceae.